AUUGAACGCUGGCGGCAUGCUUUACACAUGCAAGUCGAACGGGGUGAGGAGCUUGCUCCUCAUCUAGUGGCGAACGGGUGAGUAAUACAUCGGAACGUACCGUGUAGUGGGGGAUAACGUAGCGAAAGUUACGCUAAUACCGCAUACGAUCCACGGAUGAAAGCAGGGGACCUUCGGGCCUUGUGCUAUACGAGCGGCCGAUGUCUGAUUAGCUAGUUGGUGGGGUAAAGGCCCACCAAGGCAACGAUCAGUAGCGGGUCUGAGAGGAUGAUCCGCCACACUGGGACUGAGACACGGCCCAGACUCCUACGGGAGGCAGCAGGUAGGGGUUAAGUUUUGGAACAAGUGGGCGAC
RNAcentral lists this ribosomal RNA (354 nucleotides) under uncultured bacterium. Its description in RNAcentral is "bacterial SSU rRNA". It matches the Rfam family "Bacterial small subunit ribosomal RNA", at positions 30 to 381 of the family's 1533-position model. The record is from RNAcentral.